Molecule: ribosomal RNA, 447 nt
Filed under: uncultured bacterium
Lineage: Bacteria
Description: partial 16S ribosomal RNA
Rfam family: Bacterial small subunit ribosomal RNA
Source: RNAcentral
AACGAACGCUGGCGGCAGGCUUAACACAUGCAAGUCGAACGCUCCGCAAGGAGAGUGGCAGACGGGUGAGUAACACGUGGGAACGUACCCUUUACUACGGAACAACUCCGGGAAACUGGAGCUAAUACCGUAUGUGCCCUUCGGGGGAAAGAUUUAUCGGUAAAGGAUCGGCCCGCGUUGGAUUAGCUAGUUGGUGGGGUAAAGGCCUACCAAGGCGACGAUCCAUAGCUGGUCUGAGAGGAUGAUCAGCCACAUUGGGACUGAGACACGGCCCAAACUCCUACGGGAGGCAGCAGUGGGGAAUAUUGGACAAUGGGCGCAAGCCUGAUCCAGCCAUGCCGCGUGUGUGAUGAAGGCCUUAGGGUUGUAAAGCACUUUCUCCGGAGAAGAUAAUGACGGUAUCCGGAGAAGAAGCCCCGGCUAACUUCGUGCCAGCCGCCGCGGUAA